CAGAGGGUAGUUUAAAUAGAAUUUUAAUUUUGGGGAUUAAUGGUAAGAUGUAUCUUUCCUCUGA
Molecule: transfer RNA, 64 nt
Filed under: Ruspolia lineosa
Lineage: Eukaryota; Metazoa; Arthropoda; Insecta; Orthoptera; Tettigoniidae
Description: tRNA-Pro
Source: RNAcentral